UACAGAGGUAGCAAGCGUUGUCCGGAUUCACUGGGCGUAAAGGACGUGUAGGCGGCCCUACAAGUCGGGUGUGAAAUCGUUUUGCUCAACAAAACAAUUGCACCCGAUACUGUUUGGCUUGAGUGCAGGAGGGGAAAUUGGAAUUUCCGGUGUAGCGGUGAAAUGCGUAGAUAUCGGAAAGAACACCCGUGGCGAAGGCGGAUUUCUGGCCUGCAACUGACGCUGAGGCGUAAAAGCUAGGGGAG
Molecule: ribosomal RNA, 245 nt
Filed under: uncultured bacterium
Lineage: Bacteria
Description: partial 16S ribosomal RNA
Rfam family: Bacterial small subunit ribosomal RNA
Source: RNAcentral